UACGUAGGGUGCAAGCGUUAAUCGGAAUUACUGGGCGUAAAGCGUGCGCAGGCGGUUGUGCAAGCCCGGUGUGAAAUCCCCGGGCUUAACCUGGGAAUGGCAUUGGUGACUGCACGGCUAGAGUGUGUCAGAGGGGGGUAGAAUUCCACGUGUAGCAGUGAAAUGCGUAGAGAUGUGGAGGAAUACCGAUGGCGAAGGCAGCCCCCUGGGAUAACACUGACGCUCAUGCACGAAAGCGUGGGGAGCAAACAGG
Molecule: ribosomal RNA, 253 nt
Filed under: uncultured bacterium
Lineage: Bacteria
Description: partial 16S ribosomal RNA
Rfam family: Bacterial small subunit ribosomal RNA
Source: RNAcentral